Non-coding RNA from Rattus norvegicus (Norway rat), 47 nucleotides. NCBI's taxonomy places the organism in Eukaryota, Metazoa, Chordata, Mammalia, Rodentia, Muridae. The record is from Rfam.
CUAAAGGCCCUUUUCAGGGCCACCCACAUAACUCCCUGAAGCGCUGU